CCUACGGGACGCAGCAGUGAGGGAUAUUGGUCAAUGGGCGAGAGCCUGAACCAGCCAAGUCGCGUGAGGGAAGACGGCCCUACGGGUUGUAAACCUCUUUUGUCAGGGAGCAAGAACGGAUACGUGUAUCCGAGCGAGAGAACCUGAAGAAAAAGCAUCGGCUAACUCCGUGCCAGCAGCCGCGGUAAUACGGAGGAUGCGAGCGUUAUCCGGAUUUAUUGGGUUUAAAGGGUGCGUAGGCGGGCUGCCACGUCAGCGGGAAAAUUGUGGGGGGCAACCCCGUCGAGCCGUGGAAACUGGCGGCC
RNAcentral lists this ribosomal RNA (305 nucleotides) under uncultured bacterium. Its description in RNAcentral is "bacterial SSU rRNA". It matches the Rfam family "Bacterial small subunit ribosomal RNA", at positions 338 to 641 of the family's 1533-position model. The record is from RNAcentral.